This 509-nucleotide ribosomal RNA is filed under the name uncultured Neisseriaceae bacterium. RNAcentral describes it as "bacterial SSU rRNA". It matches the Rfam family "Bacterial small subunit ribosomal RNA", at positions 30 to 524 of the family's 1533-position model. The record is from RNAcentral. Lineage: Bacteria; Pseudomonadati; Pseudomonadota; Betaproteobacteria; Neisseriales; Neisseriaceae.
AUUGAACGCUGGCGGCAUGCUUUACACAUGCAAGUCGAACGGUAGCGGGGAAGAAGCUUGCUUCUUCUGCCGACGAGUGGCGAACGGGUGAGUAAUAUAUCGGAACGUGCCAAGUAAUGGGGGAUAACUAUCCGAAAGGAUGGCUAAUACCGCAUACGCUCUACGGAGGAAAGCAGGGGAUCUUCGGACCUUGCGUUAUUUGAGCGGCCGAUAUCUGAUUAGCUAGUUGGUGGGGUAAGAGCCUACCAAGGCAACGAUCAGUAGCGGGUCUGAGAGGAUGAUCCGCCACACUGGGACUGAGACACGGCCCAGACUCCUACGGGAGGCAGCAGUGGGGAAUUUUGGACAAUGGGCGAAAGCCUGAUCCAGCCAUGCCGCGUGUAUGAAGAAGGCCUUAGGGUUGUAAAGUACUUUUGUUAGGGAGGAAAAGCUAUAGGUUAAUACCCUGUAGUCAUGACAGUACCUAAAGAAUAAGCACCGGCUAACUACGUGCCAGCCGCCGCCGUAAC